This 253-nucleotide ribosomal RNA is filed under the name uncultured bacterium. RNAcentral's name for it is "partial 16S ribosomal RNA". It matches the Rfam family "Bacterial small subunit ribosomal RNA", at positions 524 to 776 of the family's 1533-position model. The record is from RNAcentral.
UACGUAGGGGGCAAGCGUUGUCCGGAUUUAUUGGGCGUAAAGAGCGUGUAGGCGGCUUUACAGGUCCGUUGUGAAAACUCGAGGCUCAACCUGGGAAUGGCGCUUGUAACUGGCAGGCUAGAGUGUGUCAGAGGGAGGUAGAAUUCCACGUGUAGCAGUGAAAUGCGUAGAGAUGUGGAGGAAUACCGAUGGCGAAGGCAGCCUCCUGGGAUAACACUGACGCUCAGGCACGAAAGCGUGGGGAGCAAACAGG